RNAcentral lists this ribosomal RNA (253 nucleotides) under uncultured bacterium. RNAcentral's name for it is "partial 16S ribosomal RNA". It matches the Rfam family "Bacterial small subunit ribosomal RNA", at positions 524 to 776 of the family's 1533-position model. The record is from RNAcentral.
UACGUAGGGUGCAAGCGUUGUCCGGAAUUAUUGGGCGUAAAGAGCUCGUAGGCGGUUUGUCGCGUCUGCUGUGAAAUCCCGAGGCUCAACCUCGGGCCUGCAGUGGGUACGGGCAGACUUGAGUGCGGUAGGGGAGAUUGGAAUCCCUGGUGUAGCGGUAGAAUGCGCAGAUAUCAGGAGGAACACCGAUGGCGAAGGCAGAUCUCUGGGCCGUUACUGACGCUGAGGAGCGAAAGCAUGGGGAGCGAACAGG